This 26-nucleotide non-coding RNA is filed under the name Homo sapiens (human). The record is from RNAcentral. Lineage: Eukaryota; Metazoa; Chordata; Mammalia; Primates; Hominidae.
UAUGGAUGCUCUAUGAAACCCACUUU